GAUGAACGCUAGCGGCGUGCCUAAUACAUGCAAGUCGAGCGAACGGACGAGAGGCUUGCUUCUUUGAUUUUAGCGGCGGACGGGCGCGUAACACGUGGGUAUCCUACCUAUAAGACUGGGAUAACUUCGGGAAUCCGGAGCUAAUACCGGAACAUAUUUUGAACCGCAUUGUUCAAAAGUGAAAGACGGACUUGUUGUCAUUUAUAGAUGGAUCCGCGCUGCAUUAGCUAGUUGGUAGGGUAACGGCUUACCAAGGCAACGAUCCAUAGCGGAUCUGAGAGGGUGAUCGGCCACACUGGAACUGAGCCACGGUCCGGACUCCUACGGGAGGCAGCAGUGGGGAAUCUUCCACAAUGCGCGAAAGCCUGACGGAGCAACGCCGCGUGAGUGAUAAAGGUCUUCGGAUCGUAAAACUCUGUUAUUAGGAAAGAACAUAUGUGUAAGUGACUGUGCACAUCUUGACGGUACCUAAUCAGAAAGCCACGGCUAACUACGUG
This 497-nucleotide ribosomal RNA is filed under the name uncultured bacterium. Its description in RNAcentral is "partial 16S ribosomal RNA". It matches the Rfam family "Bacterial small subunit ribosomal RNA", at positions 28 to 507 of the family's 1533-position model. The record is from RNAcentral.